GACGAACGCUGGCGGCGUGCUUAACACAUGCAAGUCGAACGGAAAGGCCCUGCUUUUGUGGGGUGCUCGAGUGGCGAACGGGUGAGUAACACGUGAGUAACCUGCCCUUGACUUUGGGAUAACUUCAGGAAACUGGGGCUAAUACCGGAUAGGAGCUCCUGCUGCAUGGUGGGGGUUGGAAAGUUUCGGCGGUUGGGGAUGGACUCGCGGCUUAUCAGCUUGUUGGUGGGGUAGUGGCUUACCAAGGCUUUGACGGGUAGCCGGCCUGAGAGGGUGACCGGCCACAUUGGGACUGUGAUACGGCCCAGACUCCUACGGGAGGCAGCAGUGGGGAAUAUUGCACAAUGGGCGGAAGCCUGAUGCAGCAACGCCGCGUGCGGGAUGACGGCCUUCGGGUUGUAAACCGCUUUCGCCUGUGACGAAGCGUGAGUGACGGUAAUGGGUAAAGAAGCACCGGCUAGCUACGUG
RNAcentral lists this ribosomal RNA (468 nucleotides) under uncultured bacterium. Its description in RNAcentral is "partial 16S ribosomal RNA". It matches the Rfam family "Bacterial small subunit ribosomal RNA", at positions 28 to 507 of the family's 1533-position model. The record is from RNAcentral.